Molecule: ribosomal RNA, 304 nt
Filed under: uncultured bacterium
Lineage: Bacteria
Description: partial 16S ribosomal RNA
Rfam family: Bacterial small subunit ribosomal RNA
Source: RNAcentral
CAGCAGCAGCCGCGGGAAUACGUAGGGUGCAAGCGUUAAUCGGAAUUACUGGGCGUAAAGCGUGCGCAGGCGGUGAUGUAAGACAGUUGUGAAAUCCACGGGCUCAACCUGGGAACUGCAUCUGUGACUGCAUCGCUGGAGUGCGGCAGAGGGGGAUGGAAUUCCGCGUGUAGCAGUGAAAUGCGUAGAUAUGCGGAGGAACACCGAUGGCGAAGGCAAUCCCCUGGGCCUGCACUGACGCUCAUGCACGAAAGCGUGGGGAGCAAACAGGAUUAGAUACCCCGGUAGUCCCUGUCUCUUAUAC